Molecule: non-coding RNA, 99 nt
Organism: Acanthosepion pharaonis
Lineage: Eukaryota; Metazoa; Mollusca; Cephalopoda; Sepiida; Sepiidae
Source: the annotation of a GenBank genome assembly
GUUGUAAACAUCGAUACUCGUACGAUCACGGAAGUUAAACAACGUUGAGCCUGGCCUGUGCCUAGAUGGGUGACCACCUGGGAAUACAAAAUGCUGUAA